Molecule: transfer RNA, 57 nt
Filed under: Rhabditophanes sp. KR3021
Lineage: Eukaryota; Metazoa; Nematoda; Chromadorea; Rhabditida; Alloionematidae
Description: tRNA-Asp
Source: RNAcentral
AAAGUUAUAAUAUAAAUUAGUAUAUUUCAUUGUCAAUGAAAAGGUUCUUUAACUUUA